This 78-nucleotide small RNA is filed under the name Flavobacterium circumlabens. Its description in RNAcentral is "Flavo-1 RNA". It matches the Rfam family "Flavo-1 RNA". The record is from RNAcentral. Lineage: Bacteria; Pseudomonadati; Bacteroidota; Flavobacteriia; Flavobacteriales; Flavobacteriaceae.
GCCUAGCCCUGAUAGAGCCGGUAUCCUUUUUCUUGCUUCUUUAGCAGGAAAAAGAUUUAGGCGAAAGCAGGAAACAGC